GACGAACGCUGGCGGCGUGCUUAACACAUGCAAGUCGAACGAUGACGACCGAGCUUGCUCGGUCUGAUUAGUGGCGAACGGGUGAGUAACACGUGAGCAACCUGCCCUUCACUCUGGGAUAACCUCGGGAAAUCGGGGCUAAUACCGGAUAUGAGCUCCUGUCGCAUGGCGGGUGUUGGAAAGUUUUUCGGUGAAGGAUGGGCUCGCGGCCUAUCAGUUUGUUGGUGAGGUAGUGGCUCACCAAGGCGAUGACGGGUAGCCGGCCUGAGAGGGCGACCGGCCAAACUGGGACUGAGACACGGCCCAGACUCCUACGGGAGGCAGCAGUGGGGAAUAUUGCACAAUGGGCGAAAGCCUGAUGCAGCGACGCCGCGUGAGGGAUGACGGCCUUCGGGUGGUAAACCUUUUUCAGCAGGGAAGAAGCGAAAGUGACGGUACCUGCAGAAGAAACGCCGGCUAACUACGU
This 466-nucleotide ribosomal RNA is filed under the name uncultured bacterium. RNAcentral's name for it is "partial 16S ribosomal RNA". It matches the Rfam family "Bacterial small subunit ribosomal RNA", at positions 28 to 506 of the family's 1533-position model. The record is from RNAcentral.